AUGGUAGGAUAGAGGCCUACCAUGGUGGUAACGGGUAACGGGGUGUUAGGGCACGACACCGGAGAGGGAGCCUGAGAAACGGCUACCACAUCCAAGGAAGGCAGCAGGCGCGCAAAUUACCCAAUCCCGACACGGGGAGGUAGUGACAAUAAAUAACAACACAGGGUUCUUUGAAUCUUGUAAUUGGAAUGAGUACAAUUUAAAUCUCUUAACGAGGAACAAUUGGAGGGCAAGUCUGGUGCCAGCAGCCGCGGUAAUUCCAGCUCCAAUAGCGUAUAUUAAAGUUGUUGCAGUUAAAAAGCUCGUAGUUGAAUUUCGGGAUCAAUACGUCGGUCGUGCUUUCGGGUACGUACUGGCGUCAUUGGUUUCUCCUUUCUGACGAACCAUGAUGUCAUUAAUUUGGUGUUAUGGGGAGUUAGGACUGUUACUUUGAAAAAAUUAGAGUGUUUAAAGCAGGCAUUAGCUUGAAUACAUUAGCAUGGAAUAAUGAAAUAGGACGUUCGAUCCUAUUUUGUUGGUUUCUAGGAUCAACGUAAUGAUUAAUAGGGAUAGUUGGGGGCAUUAGUAUUCAAUUGUCAGAGGUGAAAUUCUUGGAUUUAUUGAAGACUAACUACUGCGAAAGCAUUUGCCAAGGAUGUUUUCAUUAAUCAAGAACGAAAGUUAGGGGAUCGAAGACGAUCAGAUACCGUCGUAGUCUUAACCAUAAACUAUGCCGACUAGGGAUCGGAUGAUGUUAAUUUUUUAAUGACUCAUUCGGCGCCUUACGGGAAACCAAAGUGUUUGGG
Molecule: ribosomal RNA, 785 nt
Filed under: uncultured Glomus
Lineage: Eukaryota; Fungi; Glomeromycota; Glomeromycetes; Glomerales; Glomeraceae
Description: SSU rRNA
Rfam family: Eukaryotic small subunit ribosomal RNA
Source: RNAcentral